RNAcentral lists this long non-coding RNA (1076 nucleotides) under Daphnia pulex (common water flea). Its description in RNAcentral is "uncharacterized LOC124189956, transcript variant X3". The record is from RNAcentral. Lineage: Eukaryota; Metazoa; Arthropoda; Branchiopoda; Diplostraca; Daphniidae.
AAUGAGGGGAAGGCAGCUUGACAUUCGCUUUUGUGUCUCGCUCGUCUGUCAGUGAUUCCAGAUUGUUGACGAAAUAUCGUCUUCUGCUACCUCUAGGUGUUGAUGGCCAUUGAUAAUUGGAGAGGAAUGUGACAGCUUUGUCUGGGCUAAAUGCCCUACUAUAGAAUGAAAUACUCUUGGGAAACCUUGUCUGCUCCUAAACAAGUGAGCUUUGUUGCUGUAACAAAAACUGCCAGCUGUCACCCAAAAUUACAAUACAGUAGUAGCUCGAGAAAUUUCUUCAGAGAAUGGAUUCCUGUUCAAAUGACAAUGACUGAAUGGAAUAGCUGGAUUGUCAGCUACCUGCGUUAGCAAGUUUUACUUAAAGAUUUUGAAUCAACCCACUCCGACUGUCUACUAAAGAACGGCUUUUGGCGGGAGCGGGAAAGUAUGACAAAAAUGCAUCCGCAAUCCGCAACUACACCGAAUGCUGACCAAGGAGCUUAUCAGCAAUACAUGCAGGAUUCUGAGAAUUUCCGAGAAUCGUCAAGCGAACAGAAAUUGCAUGAAACACAACUUCACGUUAUCAUUUCCCCCGCCUUGAAAACGUCAACGUCAUUAACUCUCAACUCAUCUAACAUUUAAAUGUAAAGAAAUUGCAUCCUUUAUUGAGAGGAAUUAUGAUGCACAGACAAUUUCACCAAAUUACCAAGUUUUGGAUGGAAAUUUUCCAAUAUAAUGUUAUGAAGACAUUUAAAUAACAAAAAGACUUAAAUUAAAUAGUUAAAACCAAAUGUUCCCAAAACAAUCCAAUGGCUUGAAAAAUUUAGCCAUCGCCAUUUUUUAAUGGCAUGUAACCAAUUAUAGCCUUCUUCUUGCAACUUGGAAGAAUCAAACAUAAGUCCCAGCCCAAUGAUUUUCUUUCCACUGAUGUCCACAGUUUGAACCACAUUUGCGAGCCUGGAUACAGGCGCUGAAGAUCGAAGCAAGUUUUUGGCGCGUAGCGUGCUCGGUGUAAGUAUAAAACCCUAGGGACAGAAGUACUGCUGCUAACUGGAAGUUCAAUCCAUGGAGUAAAGCACUCAAGCCGUAAGUUC